RNAcentral lists this ribosomal RNA (400 nucleotides) under uncultured bacterium. Its description in RNAcentral is "bacterial SSU rRNA". It matches the Rfam family "Bacterial small subunit ribosomal RNA", at positions 356 to 773 of the family's 1533-position model. The record is from RNAcentral.
GGGGAAUAUUGCACAAUGGGCGAAAGCCUGAUGCAGCAACGCCGCGUGAGUGAUGAAGGUCUUCGGAUUGUAAAGCUCUGUCUUUUGGGACGAUAAUGACGGUACCAAAGGAGGAAGCCACGGCUAACUACGUGCCAGCAGCCGCGGUAAUACGUAGGUGGCAAGCGUUGUCCGGAUUUACUGGGCGUAAAGGGUGCGUAGGUGGAUAUUUAAGUCAGAUGUGAAACCCCUGGGCUCAACUCAGGGACUGCAUUUGAAACUGGAUAUCUUGAGUGCGGGAGAGGUAAGUGGAAUUCCUAGUGUAGCGGUGAAAUGCGUAGAGAUUAGGAAGAACACCAGUGGCGAAGGCGACUUACUGGACCGUAACUGACACUGAGGCACGAAAGCGUGGGUAGCAAAC